UAGAAUUAUAAAACAGCCCAAAUAUAUC
Molecule: small RNA, 28 nt
Filed under: Bombyx mori (domestic silkworm)
Lineage: Eukaryota; Metazoa; Arthropoda; Insecta; Lepidoptera; Bombycidae
Description: ovarian small RNA-21883
Source: RNAcentral